CCCCUGCCUCUCUCCAGGGUCCAAAGGCCAAGCCUGUAGUGUCCUUCAUUGCUGGUAUAACUGCUCCUCCUGGCAGAAGGAUGGGCCACGCAGGGGCGAUUAUUGCUGGAGGAAAAGGUGGCGCCAAAGAGAAGAUCUCUGCUCUUCAGAGUGCGGGUGUAAUUGUCAGCAUGUCCCCCGCACAGCUGGGAACCUGCAUGUAUAAGGAAUUUGAAAAGAGGAAGAUGCUUUGAAGGACACGACAUGAAUUUUAAGGCUGUGGAGGAAAUCUCACAGACUGGAGAGCCCGUCCAGACUGCAGCCCAGGCACCUGACCCUGGUCUCUCAGUACAGGGGAAGUCCAGGCAUGUUUUAGAAUGUCCUAAAUUGAGCUAUUUUCACUUACUGUGUAACAGAGACAGAUAAUAAAUCUAUCAUUUGAUUUGAA
This 427-nucleotide long non-coding RNA is filed under the name Rattus norvegicus (Norway rat). Its description in RNAcentral is "long non-coding RNA NONRATT020577". Lineage: Eukaryota; Metazoa; Chordata; Mammalia; Rodentia; Muridae. The record is from RNAcentral.